AAAAUUUGGUCAAAGUCAAACUUUAUAAAGUUUGACUAACUUUGUAGGAAAAAAUAUCAACAUCUACAAUAUUAAAACUAUAUGGUAUGAAAAUUAAUUUCAUGAUGCAUCUAAUAAUAUUGAUUUCAUAUUGUGAGUGUUGAUAAUUUUUCCUAUAAAUUCAUUCAAAGUUGAUAAAGUUUGACUUUGACCAAAUUUUA
Non-coding RNA from Triticum aestivum (bread wheat), 200 nucleotides. Lineage: Eukaryota; Viridiplantae; Streptophyta; Magnoliopsida; Poales; Poaceae. The record is from Rfam.